Molecule: ribosomal RNA, 440 nt
Filed under: uncultured bacterium
Lineage: Bacteria
Description: bacterial SSU rRNA
Rfam family: Bacterial small subunit ribosomal RNA
Source: RNAcentral
CCUACGGGGGGCAGCAGUGGGGAAUAUUGCACAAUGGGGGAAACCCUGAUGCAGCAACGCCGCGUGAGCGAUGAAGGCCUUCGGGUCGUAAAGCUCUGUCCUAAGGGAAGAAUACUGACGGUACCUUAGGAGGAAGCCCCGGCUAACUACGUGCCAGCAGCCGCGGUAAUACGUAGGGGGCUAGCGUUAUCCGGAAUUACUGGGCGUAAAGGGUGCGUAGGCGGCCCUUCAAGUCAGAGGUGAAAGGCUACGGCUCAACCGUAGUAAGCCUUUGAAACUGUAGGGGUUGAGUGCAGGAGAGGGGAGUGGAAUUCCCAGGUGAGCGGUGAAAUGGGUAGAUAAUUGGAGGGACCACAGUUGCGAAGGCGGCUCUCUGGACUGUAACUGACGCUGAGGCACGAAAGCGUGGGGAGCGAACAGGAUUAGAUACCCGAGUAGUC